UAGGGAAUCUUCCACAAUGGGCGCAAGCCUGAUGGAGCAACACCGCGUGAGUGAAGAAGGGUUUCGGCUCGUAAAGCUCUGUUGUUGGAGAAGAACGUGCGUGAGAGUAACUGUUCACGCAGUGACGGUAUCCAACCAGAAAGUCACGGCUAACUACGUGCCAGCAGCCGCGGUAAUACGUAGGUGGCAAGCGUUAUCCGGAUUUAUUGGGCGUAAAGCGAGCGCAGGCGGUUGCUUAGGUCUGAUGUGAAAGCCUUCGGCUUAACCGAAGAAGGGCAUCGGAAACCGGGCGACUUGAGUGCAGAAGAGGACAGUGGAACUCCAUGUGUAGCGGUGGAAUGCGUAGAUAUAUGGAAGAACACCAGCGGCGAAGGCGGCUGUCUGGUCUGCAACUGACGCUGAGGCUCGAAAGCAUGGGUAGCGAACA
Molecule: ribosomal RNA, 427 nt
Filed under: uncultured bacterium
Lineage: Bacteria
Description: bacterial SSU rRNA
Rfam family: Bacterial small subunit ribosomal RNA
Source: RNAcentral